This 492-nucleotide ribosomal RNA is filed under the name uncultured bacterium. RNAcentral describes it as "partial 16S ribosomal RNA". It matches the Rfam family "Bacterial small subunit ribosomal RNA", at positions 29 to 507 of the family's 1533-position model. The record is from RNAcentral.
AGUGAACGCUGGCGGUAGGCCUAACACAUGCAAGUCGAACGGCAGCACAGUAAGAGCUUGCUCUUACGGGUGGCGAGUGGCGGACGGGUGAGGAAUACAGCGGAAUCUACUUUUUCGUGGGGGAUGACGAAGGGAAACUUACGCUAAUACCGCAUACGACCUACGGGUGAAAGCAGGGGAUCUUCGGACCUUGCGCGAUUGAAUGAGCCGAUGUCGGAUUAGCUAGUUGGAGGGGUAAGGGCCCACCAAGGCGACGAUCCGUAGCUGGUCUGAGAGGGUGGUCAGCCACACUGGAAGUGAGACACGGUCCAGACUCCUACGGGAGGCAGCAGUGGGGAAUAUUGGACAAGGGGGGCAAGCCUGAUCCAGCCAUACCGCGUGGGUGAAGAAGGCCUUCGGGUUGUAAAGCCCUUUUGUUGGGAAAGAAAAGCAGCAGGUUAAUACCCCGCUGUUCUGACGGUACCCAAAGAAUAAGCACCGGCUAACUUCGUG